GAUGAACGCUGGCGGCGUGCUUAACACAUGCAAGUCGAACGAAGCAUUUCGGUCUUAAUCUUCGGAAGCAGACUGAUCUGACUGAGUGGCGGACGGGUGAGUAACGCGUGGGUAACCUGCCCUGUACAGGGGGAUAACAGUUAGAAAUGACUGCUAACACCGCAUAAGCGCACAGGAAGGCAUCUUUCGGUGUGAAAAUAUUUAUAGGUACAGGAUGGGCCCGCGUCUGAUUAGCCAGUUGGCAGGGUAACGGCCUACCAAAGCAACGAUCAGUAGCCGGCUUGAGAGAGUGAACGGCCACAUUGGGACUGAGACACGGCCCAAACUCCUACGGGAGGCAGCAGUGGGGAAUAUUGCACAAUGGGGGAAACCCUGAUGCAGCGACGCCGCGUGAGUGAAGAAGUAUUUCGGUAUGUAAAGCUCUACCAGCAGGGAAGAAAAUGACGGUACCUGACUAAGAAGCCCCAGCUAACUACGUGCCAGCAGCCGCAGUAA
This 495-nucleotide ribosomal RNA is filed under the name uncultured bacterium. RNAcentral's name for it is "partial 16S ribosomal RNA". It matches the Rfam family "Bacterial small subunit ribosomal RNA", at positions 28 to 523 of the family's 1533-position model. The record is from RNAcentral.